GGCCUCGUAGCUCAGCGGAUAGAGCAGUAGCCUUCUAAGCUAUUGGUCGGAGGUUCGAGUCCUCCCGAGGUCGCCA
This 76-nucleotide transfer RNA is filed under the name Arsenicitalea aurantiaca. RNAcentral describes it as "tRNA-Arg". It matches the Rfam family "tRNA". From Rfam's summary of the family: Transfer RNA (tRNA) molecules are approximately 80 nucleotides in length. Their secondary structure includes four short double-helical elements and three loops (D, anti-codon, and T loops). Further hydrogen bonds mediate the characteristic L-shaped molecular structure. tRNAs have two regions of fundamental functional importance: the anti-codon, which is responsible for specific mRNA codon recognition, and the 3' end, to which the tRNAs corresponding amino acid is attached (by aminoacyl-tRNA synthetases). tRNAs cope with the degeneracy of the genetic code in two manners: having more than one tRNA (with a specific anti-codon) for a particular amino acid; and 'wobble' base-pairing, i.e. permitting non-standard base-pairing at the 3rd anti-codon position. Lineage: Bacteria; Pseudomonadati; Pseudomonadota; Alphaproteobacteria; Hyphomicrobiales; Devosiaceae. The record is from RNAcentral.